RNAcentral lists this ribosomal RNA (866 nucleotides) under marine sponge bacterium PLATEdelici-(1)-3. RNAcentral's name for it is "bacterial SSU rRNA". It matches the Rfam family "Bacterial small subunit ribosomal RNA", at positions 60 to 922 of the family's 1533-position model. The record is from RNAcentral.
AGUCGAGGGGUAACAGGAGUAGCUUGCUAUUUGCUGACGACCGGCGCACGGGUGCGUAACGCGUAUAGAAUCUACCUUAUACUGGGGGAUAGCCUUUGGAAACGAAGAUUAAUACCCCAUAGUAUGUUUGAAUGGCAUCAUUUAGGCAUUAAAGUUUCGGCGGUAUAAGAUGACUAUGCGUUCUAUUAGUUAGUUGGUAAGGUAACGGCUUACCAAGACUACGAUAGAUAGGGGUCCUGAGAGGGAGAUCCCCCACACUGGUACUGAGACACGGACCAGACUCCUACGGGAGGCAGCAGUGAGGAAUAUUGGACAAUGGAGGCAACUCUGAUCCAGCCAUGCCGCGUGUAGGAAGACUGCCCUAUGGGUUGUAAACUACUUUUAUAUGGGAAGAAUAAGGUCUACGUGUAGACUGAUGACGGUACCAUAAGAAUAAGCACCGGCUAACUCCGUGCCAGCAGCCGCGGUAAUACGGAGGGUGCAAGCGUUAUCCGGAAUCAUUGGGUUUAAAGGGUCCGUAGGCGGGCGUAUAAGUCAGUGGUGAAAGUCUGUGGCUCAACCAUAGAAUUGCCAUUGAUACUGUAUGUCUUGAAUUAUUGUGAAGUGGUUAGAAUAUGUAGUGUAGCGGUGAAAUGCUUANAGAUUACAUAGAAUACCGAUUGCGAAGGCAGAUCACUAACAAUAUAUUGACGCUGAUGGACGAAAGCGUAGGUAGCGAACAGGAUUAGAUACCCUGGUAGUCUACGCCGUAAACGAUGGAUACUANUUGUUUGGCCUUNGNNCUGAGUGACUAANCGAAAGUGAUAAGUAUCCCNCCUGGGGAGUACGUUCGCAAGAAUGAAACUCAAAGGAAUUGACGGGGGCCC